Salmo salar (Atlantic salmon) is the source of this 560-nucleotide non-coding RNA. NCBI's taxonomy places the organism in Eukaryota, Metazoa, Chordata, Actinopteri, Salmoniformes, Salmonidae. The record is from the annotation of a RefSeq genome assembly.
GAGGACUGUCUCAACUACCUUUAGAGAACUACACAGAUCACCAUGUUUCCUACCACAGGAGUUCUCUUACUGACAGUAUAUCUAACAGGUGUUCAUGGUCAGACACUGACUGAGUCUGGACCAGUGGUUAAAAAGCCUGGAGAAUCACACAAACUGACCUGUACAGCCUCUGGGUUCACUUUCAGAAGCUAUGAGAUGGCGUGGAUCAGACAGGCUCCUGGGAAAGGACUGGAGUGGAUUUCUUUUAUUAGCACAGCUAGUAGAUCAAUCUUUUACGCCCAGUCAGUCCAGGGUAGAUUCACCAUCUCCAGAGAUGACUCCAGCAGUAAGCUGUACCUACAGAUGAACAGCCUGAAGAGUGAGGACACAGCAGUGUAUUACUGUGCUAGAGAGUCACAGUGGUUAAAUUAAUGGGAGAAUCCGUACAAAAACCAUCUGGCCGUGAUAAGGAAAUGAGACCCAAAUAUUGUAGAUGUUCACAUACAGUAUCAUCACACAGAGACCCAGAGAUAACACACCUGUUAGAUAUGUUGUUAUAGUGUUGUUGAUAAACCAAGAGA